RNAcentral lists this long non-coding RNA (540 nucleotides) under Elaeis guineensis (African oil palm). RNAcentral describes it as "long non-coding RNA (EGUI_LNC048055)". The record is from RNAcentral. Lineage: Eukaryota; Viridiplantae; Streptophyta; Magnoliopsida; Arecales; Arecaceae.
GGCAAUUAGAAAGUGUUACACGUUUAUAUGAUUCUUUUUCAUUUCUUGCUUAGAUUUUCUCUUUUCUCAAAAUAAAAUCAAUAUCAAAAUGAAGUAAUAAAAUAAAAUGGCUUUUUUGUUGAGCUGGAUUUUUCUUGAUUAGAUAGGCUACUAAAGUGAAAUAGAAUGAGAGAUGCGUACCUUCUUUUUUCUUAUUCAGAUGGGUUACUGUAACAAAGUAGAGUGGGACAUAGAUAGAUGUUUUAUUAAAAUGACAUAUGCUUAUAUUGCCUGUUUUCUUUCUUAUAUAAUUGAAUAAAAUAGAACAUAGUACACUUAGAUGAGUUUUUUUUUCUUUCUUUCUUAGAUGGGUGAAUAAUCUCAUAUUCUUGGGAUACUAAGUAGUAUAUAUAACUAAUUCCAUAGUCUUUUGUACUUGUCUUGUUAGUUUAUACCUGAUUCAAUAAUGUUUCAUACUUAUAAGUAAUGGAGUCAUACAUUAUUCUUAUCUACUUAAUGCAUUAAGCUUCACUAUAGUUCAGUUUCGACAUAAAACUACCC